AGGCAAUUGACCUGUUUGACCAGAAGGGGUGGAGCCUGGCUGCACCUCUCCUAGACCUCAUUUAAGGGCUGACUGGCACUGAGGAAGGAUCUUUUUCUGGAGAUUGCUCCUCUUGGAGUUUUUUUCUGUGAGCCUAGGACACAGGUGGUAGGGAUCAAGCACAUACAUACAUCCAUGAGCACUCUGUAUUCAAAAAAACAGAGCCAAAAAACAUUCAUCAUGUUGAUAUCAUUGCUGCUAGCACCCACCAGAGGAAGAGCAAGUGACCCUGCAAGAAGAAAAAUUACAUUCUCCUGACAAAGCCUGAAUUUAAGCCUGCUUUACACAGAAUGUGAAGCCAGAUUUUCAGAAGAGGCCAACCCAAGAACAAACUACAUUACCAGAAUGAAAAAACACCACUAUACACAGAUCUGGAAAGAGUGAAAAGUGCCUCAAACCCCUAAGGAAAAGGGAAGGACAAGGUUGACAAAACUCCUAACUGGAAAGGAGCUUUAUCCCAGGAAAGAGGAACUAUACAACACCAUCCCCAGUGGGCUGAGUUGACUUCAUAGUAUCUGGGUGAACAGAAGUUAUUCAGUGCAAACUCUCUCCUUUCUGCCCUAAAGCAGCUGACAUACUAAUGCAGAAAAGUUUUCAACAGCAGAUGUAUUUUAUAUGAUGCAAACUGAAUAAGAACACAGACCAAAUACACCAGUGCCAGUCAUUUUCCUAAGGGCUGUUGGAGUGUAUGGACAACACACCUGAGAGAAGGAAGAGUUCAGCUUGAGGUACUCUGAUGAGGCAAAUGGAGCAAUGGAAUAUCUCAACAGAGGAGGAUGUAUGGGAACUGUUGAGUCAUGGCCUGAACCACUGAAUGAUCACCUGAGGCAAGUGCUGAGUCAGCUGCAGGAGCACAGGUGAAGGCAAUUCACCUAUGUGACCAGAAGGGGUGGAGCCUGGCUGCACCUCUCCCAUUUAAGGGCUGACUGUCACUGAAAAAGGAUCUCUUUCUGGUGAUUACUCCCUUUCGAGUUCUCCUGGGAGCCUAGGACAUGGAUAAGGCAGCAGUGUGAAGCCCAGUGUGGAUAGUGUUCCAUGGAUAAAGACCGCUGGUUGAGCUGGUGCCUUUAUUGCUGGGCAUUUUGUGUUUUUGGUGACAAGUGCCUGGGACAGGCUGCUGGUGGGGAGAGAGAGAGAAAGCUGCAUGCUCCAGUUCUGGAGCUCUCAGUUUAAGAACUUCCUGAACUGAAGCUUACAGAUCCAGAGGCAGAAAUGAAAAAGGUACAGAUAAAGAGGAUGCCCAUGUAGAAAUUUCAGUCACCUACACUGCUCAAAGGAGGAGAACCACAGCUGGUGAUUGCUUGAGGCAAUCUGGCACACCUGUAAUGGGGCAGCACAGAAAACGUUUCUGCGUGGGAGAUUCUCUGCCAGAUCAUUCCGGAUAUAAGCUGCACAGUAUUUACUCUGGAGGAGCUAGUAAUGGCCUGGGGAGCAAGUGCAAUUUGUUUGCUUUUCUGAGUCAAGUGCCAAUGUCAGAAACGUCUGAGAUAAGCUGUAGGAGACAGAAUCUCUAGUGAAGAAGUUUUAAUUCACCACUGCAUUGUGGACAUCCUGCCAACGGGAGCACACCUAUAGAAACAAAAUGACAACUUUUGAACCUUGUGUCCGCCAAACUUACCCCCUCCCUUGUUUUCCCACUGGCUCGGUAGUCCAGUUUCACAAUCUUAAGAAGUUUCGCAUUUGUUAAUUACAUUCUGACACUUGUUAAUUCAUAGCCAAUCUCGUUGCUAGCUGAUAGCCAUCCUGCUGUUUCCAAGAGGUCUCAGUCACCAUCUUGUCGUUUCCAAGAUGUCUCAGUCCUCUUCUUAUUGUGUUGACAUGGUGAUUCUCUCCAAGGCCUCUUUAGUUAAACAAAGAGCACCGGAGGUGGGGUGUUUGUCUUACAUCAGUCUUCUUGAAUUUUGAUAAUGUUUUGCCAACACUACUUCUCAAAGUAAGUCUGAACUGUAAGACUUUCUCAGAAAGAUAAAGCAAUAUUUGUUUUAAAUAUGGAAAUUUUAAAUUCUGAAGUUAUGUGCAUAAUCCAUGACUGUUGAUGUAAGAACUGCCUUUUGUUAGUUUUCUUUAAGAAAAUCCUAACUACCCCCUGAUUAGUCUGUACAUUCCCCAGAGUUAAAAGCAGUGUUUUUCAGAAGCUGCUGGUGUGCGUUUUAACUGUCCCACCUCUACACAAUCUUUGAAAGAGCUUGUGUUAUGAUCUGAAGAGGGAAAAUUAAACAGAUGAAAGAAAAUAAAUUGUAGUAAUGAGACAUUAAAGAAGAACAUGAUAAAUCAGGUUUUUUUAUAAGUAUUUCUAUACUUUCUGAAGGAGAGCCGAGUAAUAAUUAUUGGACAACAUCUCUUGCAAGAAUCUGAGUUCAAAAUGGACUGCUACACCACAAACAUUUAUGUCCAACAGAACUUUUCGUUCUGAGCAAGAACAAAUACAACAGUUUGAAGCUCUGGCUAAAUACUCAAGCAAGAAAAAUCUUUCUUCUCUGUAAAUUUUCAUGAUUUAAGAUGACAAAGUAAUUUCCUCAUCUACUGUUCUGUUUGAUUACUCGCUGGUUUGAUGAUUUGGACCUGUUCAUAACAUCUUACUUAUGACCUUGCUUUUUGUCAUUGAAAAAAGCCCUUUCUUUAAUUAGCUUCCAGGAUAUUUGUAGCAGCUUGGCUUAUGCUAAUUUGUGUGUUUGUU
Molecule: long non-coding RNA, 2716 nt
Organism: Gallus gallus (chicken)
Lineage: Eukaryota; Metazoa; Chordata; Aves; Galliformes; Phasianidae
Source: Ensembl